CCCUCCUGUCCUUUAUCGUUCCCGUUACUCCCUCUCUUCGUCUUCUUUUUUAUUUUAUUUUUUACAUUAUUCUCCGUUUAACCUUUAGGCUCUUCUUACAUUCUCUUUUUUUUCUUUGUUUUUCCUCGUCACUUCGCCUAUUUUCUUUUCUUUUUUCUCUCUCUCCUUUUAAGUCUUCGUUUUCCUGUUCGUCGUUAUUUUCAUUCUGUAUUUUUCUCCUCAAUUAUUUCUCACUUUCCUCAUGUAUUACUUUCCUGUAGUCGUGCGUUCCUUCUUUUUGUAUUUAUCCAUUUUCUCAAUCCUCUUCUUUCCCUGUUAACCUUUUUUACUAUCUCCUGUUCCUCCGUUUUCUAUUGUCACCUUUGCUUUCUUUCUUCUAUCGUAUUUUCCUCUUCCUUUUUUUUCUUGCUAAUGUCUAUAACUCUCCUUUCGCUUUCCUUCUCAUCUCUUCAAUCUUUCCUCUCUUCCUCUUUCCAGUCACGUAGCUUCUCUCCUCCUCCUCCUCUCCUCCAAUCGCUUCCUACCUGUGUGUCUCUUACGUGUAUUUUACCUGUUCUUGUUUCUCUCUUCUCUCCUUUCUCUUCUCCAUCGAUUUAUUGUUUAUUUUUAUCUGGGUUGUUAGUUAUUCGUAGUCUGUAAGCGGCGAUUUACAGUUUUGUUUCUUGAAAAUUAUUUUUUUAUUUGGUAACACUGCCUUGUAGCGACUAGUUUAUAUUUAAAUUCACUGCUACUACCUUUUAUUCUCCUUCUCCCCUCUUCCUCCUGCUGUGGGCCAGGUGGGCGUCCUUAGGUGGGCUACAUCGCGAGUAACGGGAUCUAGUGAGUUACAUGCAGUUGGCUCCUCCUCCUCCUCCUCCUCCUCUUCCCUUUUCCCCCCGUCUUCACCUCCUCUCCCCUCUUCCCCUUCCCCGGAUGUGGUGUUUGUUUGUCAGCUAUGUAGGUUACGGGUCACGUCACAGCUGGCCCUUCCUCUUUGCCGUAUUCCCUCGCUCCCCCUCUCCCCAUUCCCCUCACCUUCCCUGCUGCCCAUCGCUGUUUUCCUCGUCUUGGUGUGACUUGUGGAGGGAGAGGGGGAGUGCACGUGCCGUGGACUCCACCCUCGUUCCCGCCAACAUCACCAACGGGUCAGAUGGGGCAGGCACGGGUAGUGGUAAAAAGACUAACGAGGUAAUAUUAAAGGUAGAUCAAGUAACGCAGCCCCUCCCCUCGCGUCCCAGCAGGCUCAGCAGGGCCCCGCCGCACCCUGGCCCACGUGAGGCUCCCGCCCUGCCGCCCCGUGCCAUCGUCCCCUUUGCAGUUUGCUGGCUGAGUCGGCACAAUGGAUCUUUUAAGCAGGCGUAUUGCGACACACUGCCAUGCAGGAGAUGGAGAUUGUUAGGGGUGGGGGGUCCUGUGCCCCAGCAGGAACACACACACGAAGCCCUCAUGGGUGGCCCCUCCGCACACGGGCAGGGGCAGUGGCAGUGCAGGGGCGAGACAAGGCGGGUGACGGCAUGACCUACAUGGCUUUGGCACACACACAACAAGUCCCUCCAUGCCCCCAGUGCCCAGGCCGGGUCAGCUAAUGCCACUUGUCCCUCUCUCAGGGCCAUUCGCCUGCCCAGGGCAAACCUCAAACAUGGCUCGUCUAGUGUAUGCACACCCAACGUGCCUACGGAGAGCCAGAAGCACCGCUGGCAGAGGCAAUGAUAGGGUUUUGCAAGAACUACCUGCCCCGAGGGUGUAUGGGAUGUGAAGGAUGCAUUACUGAGGUUUAAAAAUGCGACUUGUUGGACGGCUGGACUGCUGGCGUGGGAAGGGCUGACUCAAAGCCUUGGCCCCCCAGCGACCAUGUGCUCGGAGCAUGCCAAGCCCCUGCCGCCACGGGAGGGGAGUUGGUGUCUUAGCAGCUAGUGCUGAUCUUACCUGUGACCUUGCUCUCCCACCCCCCCUCCCUCCCUCCCUCCCGGAAACAGAGUCGGUAAGUGAAAGUUUACCAAGGCAAUUUUCGGACUGAGGCAGCGGAGGGCAGGGUGCGGGGCACGGCGGGCGGGGCGGGGCGCACCACUGCGCCACCCCGGGCUCCCGUGUGAGCGAGAGUUGGCGCUUCAGGAACACAAGUUAACAGGCCAUCAGGGAGCACAGGAAGUAGGGAGUGUUUGGGGUGGUGCCGCCCAUUCCAUCCUGCCCCGCCGCCCCGUCCCGCCUCGCUGUCCCAGCGGCGGGAAGGUUCACGUGCACGGUUGAUGUGUACGGCUGCGGCGCCGCCCCGCCGCCCGUUGGGGGUCUUGUUUACAUCUCCCCCUUAGGUCUUGUUGACGGGCAGCCCAGGUGAUCAGCGGGUCCCACUCUGUUCCUCCCUCUCCCUCUCCCCCCUCGCAUCGGUGCGCCACAUACCUGAGCGUCACCUGCGCCUCGGCCACCACCACAGAUGCUGCCGGAGGGGGAGGCAAGCUCCGCCCCUUCCCCCUGGCCUCCCCCAGCUUCCCCCGCGACACGCGCGCCAUCUGGGUUGGUGGGCGGCUGGCCCGUAAGGUCGAAACUCUGGCAGUAGAAAGGGAGUGAAGCGGCAGUGAUGCGGGGGUGACGUGGCGGGGGAAGGCGGGAGCGGGGGGGAGACUCAGCUCUCCAUAAGAGUAUAUAAACCUCCGGACGGAGGAGCACAGCGUCGUGGCUCAGCCGACCGACCGGACCCUCUCUCUCUUGCUCUGCUACGGCAGAAGGCUCAGGCCCUUGAGGAGAGGCGUCGAGUCGAGGACGGCUUGAGCAGCCCAGCCCGGCAAGGGCGAGGAGCCCUUCUGCUGGCUGGGCUCCUCCUGCCUGCCGGGACGGGCACGGCGGUGGAGGGCUCGCCGAGCGGCCCACCCACCAGCCGCUUGGCAGGCUGGCGCUGGCCCCCGGCCCCCGCCGCUGCCUCGCUCUGCCAUUGCGGCGGAGCGAGGGAGGGGAGGAGGAGGGUGCCAGGCCACGCCCCCCCCCUCCAUCUGGCGCAGCUCCACGACUGUCUUGCUCUCAAUGAUGAAUCUUUUCUUACAAUAAACAUAACAAUUUCCCUUCCCUGGAUUCUAAACUCAUGAAGUAGCUCUUAUGAUAAUCUCAGUCAAUUAGUCAAGAUAGAGAGAUCAGCACAGAGGUGGAGGUGGCGAGGUGGGGGAUGUGGGAGGGGCAGUAGCGGCGACCUUCAGGCGUCCUGGUGACGCUUCGCCACGCCAGGACCUGGUCCCUGCCCCCCUCCCUGGCUGGCCUGCCCCUACAUCUCGAGGCAAAACACCAGCCUCCCGAAGACCCAACCGUCCCCCCUCAGCGGAGCCUGUCAAGUGCGAGGGGCUGUGUCUGUGUGGCCGGUGGCGGGGUGGCGGAGAAGGGGCGCCCUAACCAUCAACGCCAACAACAAGGAGGGCCAGGCUGCGUGACCCUCGUGGUGUGCUGCUGGAAAGUGUGUGAGCCUCGGCACGGAAAAUCCCGCCGCCCCCUGCCCCGCCCCGGCCCGCCCCGUGCAGGCCUUGACGCGUGUUCCUCCGUGUGUGCGUGUGUACUUACGUGUGGCGUGGAAAAUACCUGUGGACUAGUGGAACAGCCUGUCCUUUGUGAGUGACGUAACAUUGUGGAUUGCAACUCGUCCACAACAUGGGAUAUUUUAGAGAGUGUUAUACAAGCUGAUAUUGUAUAAGUGCUGAAAAGGUUAGGCAAGUGCAGCUGCGGCCCGGAGACAGUGUAGAGGCGGUGAACAGUGUGUGAGCGCCCAAGCGGUGAGGCCUUGUCGGCUGCCCUGCUGUACAGAUGCAGGAGAGGCAUGAAUUUUUCGACCUGAACAAUGUCUGGCGACGUGUGUGUGUAAGAGAGAGAGAGAGAGAGAGAGAGAGAGAGAGAGAGGCAGGUGGAAGGGAACGGGGACGUGAUACGCGAGCAACCUUUGCUGCCUUAGCUGUUUAAGUCUUCUUUCUCCAUUACUCCCUUCCCCUCCUGUCCCUCCUCCCCUUCUUCCCACAGCCUCUUGAGGCGCUGGGGAAAUACCUACUGCGUGAGUGAGUCUCAGUUACCCCGCCCCCUCUUUGCCCCUUAGUACCCUCCAGUACCCCCCCCCCUCUCUCUCUCUCUCUCUCUCUCUCAGCGGACGACUCAUCGUUUACUCGUAAUGAUAAGUGAUUCAUCAUUUUCUCAAGGCGAGCCAUAUUAGACUGCUGUUUCUUGUAUUGAAAAGCGACGGCGAGAUGUUGAGUGGACUGGCGGACCUUGCUUUUCUUCCACGACUUUAUUUACAUGUUGCGCAAUAGUUAGCCUCCAUACUUGGGGUGUGUGUGUGUGUGUGUGUGUGUGUGUGUGUGUGUGUGUGUGUUACAAUCUUGAUGUGUUCUCAUGCUUGACCAUGAACAUUAACCAAGAAGAGCGAAGGGAAGGGGGGUUGGGGUAGUAUCGUAGUUUCCUCAAAUAUCUUGAGAGUAGUUUUGGGAGUUAUGAAUUGCGGACUUCUAAUAAAUUGUCUUUAAAAAAAGGACGAAAUCGAGUGGAGAUAACGUGCGACAUGAUUUAAAUUAGUUAUUAUUAUUAUCAUUAAUGAAGAAAGAAAAAACAAAAUUGUCGGUGCCACGUUGGGGUGGAGAAAAGAGGAGGCUGUGAUGUGUGUACUGAAGGGGUUAAUGUGUCUCGCAGCCGCCUCAGCCGUCACGCAUCCGAAGACAUAUUGGCCAACUGUUAGUGUGUGAUGCCAUAAGGUUCCAGCAAGACUUCUUAAACCGUCCAGGGAACGUGCCAAGCGCAGCUGAACGCUCUAGGCAUGUUAGACGGGUGACGUCCUAGAAAAUGUGGUCUCCUGAAAAUUGUUCCCUUUGAUUUAUUUAUAGUUGAAGUGGGUGAUGGUUUCUCGAGCGGGGAGUGUAAGCGGAGGAGCCGCCGUGGGGUUGGCAACACUGGUCAGAAAACGUGCACCCCCAAGGCCACAACUGACGCGCGCCACCCCGCUCUCACCUCCUGUUCACCACCACCACCCAGCCAUAGCCUCACAGUGGUCACCUCCAAUACUAAAUUAACGUCGGAAGGCUGCUGGCAUGAUAGUAAUUUCCACUCUCCCGUCGCUCCUGAUAAUUCCAGCGGCUGCUUAGACCGCGGUGACUUUAAAACAUUUCGUAGUCGUAUAACUGAUGGAACAAAGCAUGAGCUAGCAGUUUUCAGAGUUCCUAGUCGAAGCCAUAGUCGGGAGAGGUUUAUCCUGAAUAUGUAUUACGUGUAGGGAAGGAGAGGCCAGAGGAGGGUGCAGCCUGGACAGGGCAAGCAAGGAAGGGCGUGGCAAAGCUAACGGAGCAAGACAAGCCAAGGUUUCCAGUCAAGUCACAUCGAAGCGAGUAAGAUGUGUCGGGGCGGUGUGCAUCAGCGGAUGGGGCGGGUGCUGGGAAGGUGAAAUCUGCACUUGCCAGGAAUUGCGGUGGCGCCUAUAUUGGUCCCGUCGACCCUUGCCAAACAUUCCAUUGGGCGAAAUAAUCCUCAUAUAUGCCGUUCCCUGGAGGCGUGCGGAAAUAGGCGUCGCUCUGAGGAGUGUGUCACCCGGUUGGAUCGCGAGCCCCUCCAUCCCGCCGGAGGGAGAGGGCGUCAAGGAGGCGAGAAGCUAGGAGGAACUUGGAGUGGGAAUAAUAAUAAGAGGGGAAGAUGAGGCCUGGUAAUCCCCGCUGGCAACCGAGUGUAGUUCUUGCUGACCCAGAGAAUAAAGACUUGAGUCGCAGUAGUGCAGCCUCCAAUGUUGCCACACCAGACUGCUGCACACACCCUCCUUGCACCCCUCCCCGGCCGGCCCGCAUCGCCUCUCGGAUUGCAUUCGUGCCCUCACUUAAGACUCAUUAACAACACGGAAAUAAAAGGUCGAGACGCUAACCGGAGGGCUGUGAAUGUGGGUGUGGGUGUGUUAUCGGCACCGUGUGGUCUCCAUGAACCAGAGGAUAACGAGAGUAGGGGAGGUGGGGGGGACGUGUCGUGCUGUGCUGCCUGUCAGUCACCUCAAAGCCCCUGCAUCUAGACUGCGAACAGGCGGGGCAGGACACUACUGCCGGGGGUGGCAAUAAUUGAAAGCAAUGAGUUCGAUAUAUUUUGGCGACCAUCAUGCUGAUAAAGUAGAAGACUAGUAGUAGUAGGAGUGUCAGGGACUUCUUAUGACACGACUGGAUUACAAAAUUACUGGCGUCACGAAUAAAAGCACUCUCAAGGCAAAAUACUCUUCACAUCACUGUUACGUGCAAGCUCACACGUUUUCCUUUAUUAGCGAUCUCUCUCUCUCUCUCUCUCUCUCUCUCUCUCUCUCUCUCUCUCUCUCUCUCUCUCUCACACACACACACACACACACACACAUGACACAGGUUUUCCAUCGCUUAUCAAACGAGCUAUCACCAGCCGUGUACAUUUCGAUAUACUGAGUUGCGUCCACGGAAUUUCAUAUCUUACGCUGAAUCACCGUGGUAACAUUUUUCACACACACACACACACAGUUAAGGCAAUGUAUUUCACAAUGGUCUAUUUACUCAGUGUCGUGACGUCCGUCCGCUACUGUACCCUGACGGCCCAUUGUCCAGGCACCGCCAUUCUGCCUCCGACACACUUUUGUCACCACGUGAUGUUAUGCCAGUUAGUUCUCACCGCGACCUCCCUCUGUAUGCAUCCUAAGGUCAACCUGAUGACACGAAUGGCAGAGACGAAUGUGGAGGAAACAGGCAAGAGAGGCGAUGUAUGACGCUUGUUGCCAGGCAGGGGGCGAGUUUUGCUGAUGGCAGUAGCGUGAAUGACUGUGUGUGUGUGUGUGUGUGUGUGUGUUAAGUGAUACAGAAUGUGAAUGUCAAAGAGUAGGACAUACAACAUUAGAACAUAAUUAGUCACAUAAGGCAGUUUCGUGGAAUAGUCGAGAACCAAUUAUGCGUGUGGCGAACGAACUGAUUAAAAUGUGACGUUUGCGGGAGGGAGAGAUGAGUAUGUGACGGCGUUGAGUAGAAGUGUGUUGAUGAGAAGGAAGGAAACGAGGAAUUGCGAGGAGGUGAGAGGAUACGAAGCUGGAAGAGACGAGGAUGGGGUGACAGGAGACGUAUGUGGAAGAGGAUAAUGGUAGGGGUGAGAGGAGACGAAUGGAAGAAAGAGACAAGGAUGUGGGUGAGAGGAAACGAAUGUAGAAGAAAGAGAAGGAUAGGGUGAGAUGAAGAUGAGAUGUGAGACAGUGAUUGAGAUGAGAUGACGCGAAUGGAAGAAAGAGAUGAGGAUGUGGGUGAGAGGAAACGAAUGUUGAAGAAAGAGAAGGAUGGGGGUGAGAUUAGGAUGAGAUGUGAGACAGUGAUUGAGAUGACACGAAUGGAAGAAAGGGACGAGGAUGGGGGUGAAAGGAGAUGAAUGUGAAAGAAGAAGACAAGGAGGAGAGGUGACGGUUCAGUCUAGGUUGCAGACAAGAGAGUGCAGAAGAGCUGUCCUGCUGUAUGUCCCAAGCCGGCUCGGGGGUCACCUUACAUCUUACCCCUCCAUCCACCCCACACCUGCCCUUCCCCCUUCCUUUCCGCCCCUCUCUUGCUACCUACCUGCCUGUCCACACUUGUCCCAGCUGCCACAUCUCACCUUGCAUCACCCCCUGUCUAAACACCUCACAUCUGUCAGUCUCUUGAGCACCUGUUUAUAUAUAGUCUCCCAUAUAGGUAAGCGUUUCUCCAUUUGUCCUUGUCCUCACCUCUCCGUCUUCACCUUCCCUCUACCCAUCAUUCACCCAUCACCUGCUGCUCACCCCUCAGGGCCCAGCCUACCCUUGCCCUUUACUCCCCGGACCUGUUCCCUUCUGUAUCCACCCUCCUAUCAGUAAGUUGGGUCCGCUUCGUCUUAUGUCUGAUAAAGCCACGUACUUGAGCCUCGGUUUACGUGUCUUUUUCUCGUGUGUGUGUGUGUGUGUGUGUGUGUUUAAGAGUAGAGGAAGCAGUUCAAGGGCAAAAAAUGAUGACAGUUAUACGCGGUGUGGGUGUAGGGGUGGGGCCUAAAGAAAAGUAACAGCCUUGGGAUCACAACACAAACUGGUCCGCGUCCUUGCUAUGUAAAUUAGCUUAUAUGUGUUUGUUAAUUUAAUAAUGAUAAUAACUUCGGUGAAGCGGAAGCAAGAGAAAGUUGUUAGCGACAUGAUGUGCACACAGUAUACGUCUCACACACACACACACACACCGCCGUAUAACUGUCAUCAUUCUUACUUAGUUGGUUUCUCAAUGGUGUACUUGUUCAUUCAUACAUUCGGCUGCCCCUCGAGCAUGACAGAAUAUUUGCGUUUGUUGGAGUUGAGUCUGUCGAGCUAUCUGUGCAAGGGACGCGACACCACAGCGGGUGGAAGUGGACGGCGGGCCGCGGCAGGAAAUAUCUGACCAGGCAUGUCUGCGAUGUAUGUUGUGAGAGAGAGAGAGAGAGAGAGAGAGAGAGAGAGAGAGAGAGAGAGCCGUUGUGUUGACCCAGGGAAUGUGCGAGGUAGGAAGGGAGGUGCUACAGGAAGCGCUCCACUGACACCAAUCCCCAGCUUCUGAUCCCCAGCAGAUCAUCCCCAUUUCGAGCCCCAGAAUCUCCACCACAAAUAAUCCCUCAGAACCCCCCGCUCCUUCCCCCUGUCCGUCCUUUCCAAACACAUCCCUCUCCGCAUAUCCCUCUUCUCUUCCGCCACCCUAAAUACCUCCACGAGACCUUCCCUUCCUUUUCCCUCAAGCAUUUCCCCACGACGCGCCCCACCCCUGCCUGUGUGUGUGUGUGUGUGUGUGCCCCCAUGCUUAUCGAGGCGGGCCGUGCGUGGGACCGAGGCACUCUGCCCAUUUGAGGCACCGUGGGCUGCAGUCUUCCUGUACUCGGUUGUAGCAAUGUGGGCUGCAAGUCAUUUAUACAGUACUCUGAUGAGUCAGUGUAGGCUGCAGGCCGCCUGUAUCCGGUGCAUGCCAGCAGUGUAGGGGCAGCACAUGUACUACGUAGUGUGAGUGAGUGUGUGCAGGGUGCACUGUAAGGCCUCGGCGCAGCCUUGAGUGCCGUGCCGGGGCCGCGCAGUCAGCAUCUUGCCGCGCCGCUGCUGUUCAUGUCUCCCCCCUCACGGGAACAAAGAAAUAUAUAAAUAAAGGUUUACACUGAA
Long non-coding RNA from Eriocheir sinensis (Chinese mitten crab), 9079 nucleotides. RefSeq lists it as uncharacterized. The transcript has 2 exons. NCBI's taxonomy places the organism in Eukaryota, Metazoa, Arthropoda, Malacostraca, Decapoda, Varunidae. The record is from RefSeq and is a predicted model, not a curated record.